RNAcentral lists this ribosomal RNA (479 nucleotides) under uncultured bacterium. RNAcentral describes it as "partial 16S ribosomal RNA". It matches the Rfam family "Bacterial small subunit ribosomal RNA", at positions 28 to 523 of the family's 1533-position model. The record is from RNAcentral.
GACGAACGCUGGCGGCGUGCUUAACACAUGCAAGUUGAGCGAUGAAGCACCUUCGGGUGUGAAUUAGCGGCGAACGGGUGAGGAACACGUGAGAAAUCUGCCUUCAACACUGGGAUAACUCCGGGAAACCGGGGCUAAUACCGGAUAUGAAACCUGCGGGCAUCCGCGGGUUUGGAAAGUUUCUCGGUUGAAGAUGAUCUCGCGGCCUAUCAGCUUGUUGGUGAGGGAAUGGCUCACCGAGGCGUCGACGGAUAGCCGGCCUGAGAGGGGGACCGGCCACACUGGGACUGAGACACGGCACAGACUCCUAAGGGAGGCAGCAGUGGGGAAUAUUGGGCAAUGGAGGAAACUCUGACCCAGCGACGCCGCGGGCGGGAUGAAGGCCUUCGGGUUGUAAACCGCUUUCAGCAGGGAAGAAGCGAAAGUGACGGUACCUGCAGAAGAAGCACCGGCUAACUAUGUGCCAGCCGCCGCGGUAA